AACGAACGCUGGCGGCAUGCCUAACACAUGCAAGUCGAACGAGACCUUCGGGCCUAGUGGCGCACGGGUGCGUAACGCGUGGGAACCUGCCCUUAGGUUCGGAAUAACUCCCCGAAAGGGGUGCUAAUACCGGAUAAUGUCUUCGGACCAAAGAUUUAUCGCGUUUGGGUGGGCCCGCGUUGGUUUAGCUAGUUGGUAGGGUAAAAGCCUACCAAGGCGACGAUCCAUAGCUGGUGUGAGAGGAUGAUAAGCCACAAUGGGACUGAGACACGGCCCAGACUCCUACGGGAGGCAGCAGUGGGGAAUAUUGGGCAAUGGGCGAAGGCCUGAUCCAGCAAUGCCGCGUGAGUGAUGAAGGCCUUAGGGUUGUAAAGCUCUUUUACCCGGGAUGAUAAUGACAGUACCGGGAGAAUAAGCUCCGGCUAACUCCGUG
RNAcentral lists this ribosomal RNA (433 nucleotides) under uncultured bacterium. RNAcentral describes it as "partial 16S ribosomal RNA". It matches the Rfam family "Bacterial small subunit ribosomal RNA", at positions 29 to 507 of the family's 1533-position model. The record is from RNAcentral.